RNAcentral lists this ribosomal RNA (487 nucleotides) under Bacillus amyloliquefaciens. Its description in RNAcentral is "bacterial SSU rRNA". It matches the Rfam family "Bacterial small subunit ribosomal RNA", at positions 393 to 870 of the family's 1533-position model. Lineage: Bacteria; Bacillati; Bacillota; Bacilli; Caryophanales; Bacillaceae. The record is from RNAcentral.
CACGCCGCGUGAGUGAUGAAGGUUUUCGGAUCGUAAAGCUCUGUUGUUAGGGAAGAACAAGUACCGUUCGAAUAGGGCGGUACCUUGACGGUACCUAACCAGAAAGCCACGGCUAACUACGUGCCAGCAGCCGCGGUAAUACGUAGGUGGCAAGCGUUGUCCGGAAUUAUUGGGCGUAAAGGGCUCGCAGGCGGUUCCUUAAGUCUGAUGUGAAAGCCCCCGGCUCAACCGGGGAGGGUCAUUGGAAACUGGGGAACUUGAGUGCAGAAGAGGAGAGUGGAAUUCCACGUGUAGCGGUGAAAUGCGUAGAGAUGUGGAGGAACACCAGUGGCGAAGGCGACUCUCUGGUCUGUAACUGACGCUGAGGAGCGAAAGCGUGGGGAGCGAACAGGAUUAGAUACCCUGGUAGUCCACGCCGUAAACGAUGAGUGCUAAGUGUUAGGGGGUUUCCGCCCCUUAGUGCUGCAGCUAACGCAUUAAGCACUCC